ACCAAGAUGGGCCCAACGGACAUCUUGGGCCUUUGAUUGCGCCCUGAUCGGGGGCGCCCAACCCGAUAUGGUUGGUGGGCCCCUGUCACACUGCGCUAUAAAUAAAAGGGUGGGGGCCGGCGGCUCGGAUGACGUGUUUCACUAGAGCCGUACUCCCCACCGACAAAACCCUAACACCGAUCUGAGAGGGUGCGCAGCCAGUGACGGGAAGACACCGCCGUUCAUCGCCGUCGACAACCUCGCUGCAUCAACCUUCAUCAACGAACCUGAUGGCGGACGGAUCUACAUCCUCCAACACGCCUGCACUUCCCAAUGACGGUAACAAUCUAACUACUGUUCUGUUCUACAAAUUAGGAACCCGAAAUUACUCAAUAGAAUAUAGAUUACCCCACUGAUCUACUCCUAGAGAUCCUGUAAAUCUUAACAUUGGUACCGGAGCCAUAAUCUAGGUGUUGAUCUAGUUGGGAAAAGUUUUAAUCGAUGAAAAUGAAAAGAGGUCGAAUCUGUUUGGAUUCAUAGAUAAAACAACAGAAAAGAAAGCCAAAUGGCGACUGGAUUUACCCCUGCAAAACGGAAAAAGAAACAGCCGUCACGUCAAAUCAAAAAAAAAAAAUAGCAAUAGAAGCACUCACGUGCAGGUGCAGGGGCGAAGGCUCCUUUCUUUGCCGUUCGGCUGUCUGCUGGCCGCCGUUCGGCUGUCUGGUGGCCGUGCGCAGGCAGCGCCGCUGGGUGCAGACCGCCGCGUGAUUUUUUGUUUCCUCCCAGCGCUGGACAGAGGAUGGCGGCGCUCUUGGACCCGGCGUCCAUGCGUCUGCUGUCGAGGGCGUGUGAGCUGGAGCUCCGGGCGCACAAGGCCAUGGCGGCAUGCGCGAAGAUAGGGCCGAACGAGGCCUGCGUGUUCGGAGCCGCCAGCUGCGCCAAGAAAAACGCUAACAGAAAGAAGUGUGGCGGCUGGGAGAGGGAAAAGGAAGACAAUACGUAUAUGUACUAGUGCAAACCCUAAUCUGAGCGUGAUGGCUUUAUUGGGCCGAUUUCAGCCCAAUUAAAGGAAAGAAACAGUAAACGUUUUUUUUUCAGAAGCUAUUAUUUAAUUAUUGAUGUUCUAUCUCUAUUUAAAUUUGAACCAACGAGAUAAUUUGAUUAGAGAAUAGAAAAGAAUUUAUUUUAUGCUUCUGAAUAAAAGUGUUAUUAAUGUUUCCGCUGCGUAUUUAAAGUUAUUAUUUUUAUUAUUAAAUUCGAACCAACGGGAGAAUUUAAUUUUGAAAAAUAGAAAUGAUUUUCAUAUUAUUAUAGUAUUGUUAUUAUUCUGACCAACGUUGAUUAAUAGCAAUAUUAUAAUAUUAUAGUGCCUUUUGUUUUAUAUUAAUUCUAUUUCUGCCCAACGGUGAUGUAGAAUUGAUAUAAACUGGAUAAAUUGUAUGCUUAAAUUUUAUUGGAACUGAAGCGUGCAAUUAAUGUAAUUUGUUCUCACUUUACAUGAAUUGUAAUUUCAGGAGGAUACUCCUUGAUGGGGUUUAUUAAAGAUAUUCCACCCCUAAAAGGAGAUAAUUAUACAGAAUGGAAGAAAAAGAUUGACCUAGCCUUCGUUUUGGCUGAGGUGGACUGGGUAGUCACCACACCGUGUCCCACUGAGCCUGUGGCACCAGUGAGAGAGACAGAUGAGGCUGAGUCUGCUUGGCAGAACAGACAGAGGGACCAUGCUCCCAAACAGAUGGCUUAUGACCUUGAACAUAGAAAGUGGGUUAUUGCCAACAAAAAGUGCAUGGCAGUGCUAAAGAAUACAGUUGAGCCUUCUAUUGCGGGCUCAAUUCCAGAGUGUGACACUGUCACAGAAUACCUCGAUAGAAUAAAGGGUCAGUUCUAUGGCUCUUCAAAGACAUAUGCAACUCAGCUGAUAAAGCAGAUGAUGACAGAGAGGUAUUCUGGAGGAGGCAAUGGCACUGGCAUAAGAGAGCACAUACUAAAGAUGAGUCAUAUGAACUCAAAGCUUAAACCAAUGGAUUUGCAUGUUAAGGAUGAAUUCCUUGUCCAUUUGAUUUUUGCUUCACUGCCAAAAGAGUUCGACACCUUUGUUGUCAACUACAACAUUCAACCCGAGAAGUGGGAUCUUGAUCGUUGUAUGGCUAUGUGUGUGCAAGAAGAGGAGAGAAUAAAAGCCGCCAAUGGUGGCACUCUCCACUAUGUUAAAGAUAAUAAGAAAAGAAAUUUUAAUGCUAAUGCCAACUCUCCCGCAAAAGCAAAGGGAAAGGCUCCUCAGCACCAUCAGCCUCAACAGAAAAAGUUUAUGGUAAACAAAGAUCAAUGUCUCCACUGUAAGAAGACAGGACAUUACAAGAAAGACUGUCCUGAAUUCUUAAAGUCUAUCAUGGCAAAGAAUGGUGAGAACAUUAUUACGUUCAUUAAUGAAUCCCUAUAUGUACAAUAUUCAAAAUCUACUUGGUGGAUUGACUCAGGGGCAACCAUCCAUGUUGCUAAUUCUUUACAGGGAUUCCGUUCGACGAGGACUAUGCAAAGAAAAGAAAGACACAUUAAAGUUGCAAAUGGAGUGCAAGCAAAUGUUGAAGCUGUUGGCGACCUUCCUCUAGAGCUUGCUAAUGGCUUCAUACUUGUACUUAGAGAUGUUCUUUAUGUUCCCUCUUUACAGAGGAAUUUGAUUAGUGUCUCAUGUUUGGACAAUAAUGGUUUUGAUUGUCAUUUUGGAGAUGGCAAAUGUGAGAUAUUUCAUAAUAAAGAAAGUGUUGGUCUUGCUUUUCAAAAGGAAGAUCUUUAUUUGUUAUCGCUUCGUGAAAAUGUGAAUUCCGUGAGCGAUAUGAAUGCAAAUGUAUCCUCGUCACUGAAUGAAAACAGAAAACGAAAGAGAACUCAUGAUGAAUCAUCGAAAUUAUGGCACUGUCGUUUAGGCCAUAUUUCGAGGGGGAGAAUAGAGAGACUAGUUAAGAAUGAUAUUCUUCCUCCAUUAGAGUUCUCAGACUUAGAACAAUGCAGAGAAUGCAUUAAAGGAAAGUAUGCAAAGAAAAUUAAAAAGAACGCCAAACGAAGCACAGGAAUUCUACAGAUAAUCCACACAGAUAUAUGUGGCCCAUUUCCUAUGAAAAGUGUGGAUGGUUUUGACUCGUUCAUAACAUUCACAGAUGAUUACUCUCGUUUUGGCUACAUUUAUCCAAUCAAAGAAAGAACAGAAGCGUUGGAUAAAUUUAAGAUAUUUAAGGCUGAAGUUGAAAAUCAGCAUAGUUCAAAGAUUAAGGUAGUCCGGUCUGACCGUGGUGGAGAGUACUAUGGUCGGCAUACCCCAUAUGGCCAAGUUCCUGGACCUUUUGCAAGGUUCUUACAGGAAAAUGGUAUAGUAGCCCAGUACUCAACACCGGGCGAACCUCAGCAGAAUGGAGUAGCUGAAAGGCGUAACCGUACAUUGAUGGAUAUGGUGCGUAGUAUGAUGAGUUACUCUACCUUGCCAUUGAGUCUAUGGAUGGAGGCACUGAAAACCGCCAUUCAUAUUCUCAAUAGAGUACCAAGUAAGUCGGUGCCCAAAACACCGUAUGAGUUGUGGACAGGAAAAGUACCCUCACUAAACCACUUACGUGUGUGGGGGAGUCCUGCUGAGGCUAAAGUGUUUAACCCAAACAUUGGGAAACUAGAUCCCAAAACAGUAAGUUGCCAUUUCAUUGGCUAUCCAGAAAGAUCAAAAGGGUUUCGUUUCUACUGUCCAGAUAGAUAUACAAAGUUUGUAGAAACGAGACACGCUGUGUUCCUAGAGGAUGAAAUGAUGAGGGGGAGCAUGGUAAGUCGAAAAAUUGAUCUUGAGGAAAAGCGGGUAUAUGUGCCCACUCCAAUGUUUCAGGAACCAAUUUUUGAAUUACCUGUUCCUGUUGCACGAACAGUGCAAGACACUGUAGUGACAACACCUGUUGUUAGUUCUCCUGUGGCGAUAAUGAAUGGACAUGAGGAACCUGUCCUUCAGGAUCCUAUAGAAAAUGAUGUCACAAGUGAGGGGGAGCAACAACAGCCCCAGAUAGUAGAUGUGCCAAAUGUAGAGGCCCCAAGAAGGUCUCAAAGAAUUAAAAGAUCAGCUAUUCCUGAUGAUUAUGAGGUGUACAACACCGAAGGACUUCAAAUGGAGGGUGAUCCCACCUCAUUUGAAGAAGCCAUGAGAAGUGAGCACUCGUCAAAGUGGCUUAAAGCCAUGGAAGAUGAAAUGGAAUCAAUGAAUGCUAACAAAGUUUGGGAUUUAGAGACAAUUCCUAAAGGAGCCAAAACAGUAGGCUGUAAAUGGGUCUACAGAACAAAACUCGACUCCAAAGGGAAUAUUGAAAGACAUAAAGCACGACUUGUGGCAAAAGGCUUUACACAAAGAGAAGGGAUUGAUUACAAUGAGACAUUUUCUCCAGUCUCAUGUAAGGACUCCUUCAGAAUUAUAAUGGCAUUAGUGGCACACUAUGAUUUAGAGUUACAUCAGAUGGAUGUAAAGACAGCAUUCCUCAAUGGGGAUUUGGAAGAAAUUGUUUACAUGGCACAACCGAAAUGUUUUGUUGUGAAAGAAAAAGAAGGCAUGGGAUGCCGCCUAAAGAAAUCAAUUUAUGGUUUAAAACAAGCUUCAAGACAGUGGUACUUGAAGUUUGAUAGAACAAUAAAGGAUUUUGGGUUUAAAGAGAAUGUUGAGGACAACUGUGUAUAUGCAAAGUUUAAGAAUGGAAAGCACAUCUUCCUAAUCCUAUAUGUGGAUGAUAUCUUACUUGCUAGUAGUGAUGUCAGUCUACUGCUGGAGACAAAGAAGUUUUUGUCCUCAAAAUUUGACAUGAAAGAUCUUGGUGAAGCGUCUUUUGUUUUGGGCAUAGAGAUUCACCGAGAUAGAACAAAAGGGGUAUUGGGACUGUCCCAAAAGUUAUACAUAGAAAAGAUUUUAAAGAGAUUCAAUAUGCACAAAUGUAGUGCAUCACCUGCACCAAUAGUCAAGGGCGACAAAUAUGGGGAUUUUCAAUGCCCUAGGAACCAGUACGAGCUCGACCAAAUGAAAGUGGUUCCAUAUGCUUCUGCUGUCGGAAGCCUGCAGUAUGCUCAAGUGUGUACACGCCCUGACUUAGCUUUUGUUACCGGGUUGCUUGGCAGAUUUCAAUGUAAUCCAGGGAUUGAGCACUGGAAAUUGGUAAAGAAAGUCUUGCGGUAUUUGCAAGGCACGAAAGGCCUCAUGAUGACGUAUAGAAGAACAGAUUCACUCCAAAUAGUGGGGUACACAGAUUCUGAUUAUGCGGGAGAUGAUAGAAAAUCCACAUCGGGAUAUGUGUUCACUCUCGCAGGUGGAGCUAUUUCAUGGAAAAGCUCGAAACAAACCGUCACUACAUCGUCCACAGAGUAUGCCGAGUUUGUAGCGUGUUUUGAGGCUUCGGGGCAGGUGAACUGGUUAAAGAAGUUCAUACCCGGUUUAAAGGUGGUCGACAGCAUACAUAAACCACUAAAGUUAUACUGCGAUAAUGCUCCAGCAGUACAGUAUGCUCACAACAAUAGGUCAAGUGGUGCUGCCAAACACAUUGACAUAAAGUACUACGUUGUGAAGGAUAAAGUCCGGGAUCAAAUAAUAAGUCUUGAGCAUAUAAGAAGUGAAAAGAUGCUCGCGGAUCCGCUUACAAAAGGCUUACCACCCAAAGUGUUCAAAGAACAUGUAGCCGGCAUGGGUUUAAGGGAAAGCCUAUGAUUCCUGGACUAUAAAUAGGGCCUAAAGUUAAAGUAACUGUUUCAGAUCAGAGAUGUGUAUUGUAGCUGUCAAAUCUAUCGACGAUUGAUCGUGACGAUGAAACAUGCUCUAUGCACUUAUCUGUGAUGGAACGAGUAAAGUGAAAAGUGUUGAAGUUAAAGUUUAAAGUUUAAAGUGAACGAUGAGAUCAAGGGGGAGAAUGUUGGAUUGAUCUCCACCAAGAUGGGCCCAACGGACAUCUUGGGCCUUUGAUUGCGCCCUGAUCGGGGGCGCCCAACCCGAUAUGGUUGGUGGGCCCCUGUCACACUGCGCUAUAAAUAAAAGGGUGGGGGCCGGCGGCUCGGAUGACGUGUUUCACUAGAGCCGUACUCCCCACCGACAAAACCCUAACACCGAUCUGAGAGGGUGCGCAGCCAGUGACGGGAAGACACCGCCGUUCAUCGCCGUCGACAACCUCGCUGCAUCAACCUUCAUCAACGAACCUGAUGGCGGACGGAUCUACAUCCUCCAACACGCCUGCACUUCCCAAUGACGGUAACAAUCUAACUACUGUUCUGUUCUACAAAUUAGGAACCCGAAAU
This 6267-nucleotide long non-coding RNA is filed under the name Zea mays. RNAcentral's name for it is "long non-coding RNA (ZMAY_LNC001922)". Lineage: Eukaryota; Viridiplantae; Streptophyta; Magnoliopsida; Poales; Poaceae. The record is from RNAcentral.